This 111-nucleotide microRNA precursor is filed under the name Belgica antarctica. RNAcentral's name for it is "microRNA mir-981". The stretch from base 17 to 99 matches the Rfam family "mir-981 microRNA precursor family". Lineage: Eukaryota; Metazoa; Arthropoda; Insecta; Diptera; Chironomidae. The record is from RNAcentral.
AGUGAACCAAAAUGAACAUCGUUGGAUCGGGUUUCUCGACGAACGGGCUUUUUAAUCACUGUCUAAGUUCGUUGUCGACGAAACCUGCAUACAAUGAUUGUCGAAACAACA